RNAcentral lists this ribosomal RNA (440 nucleotides) under uncultured bacterium. RNAcentral describes it as "partial 16S ribosomal RNA". It matches the Rfam family "Bacterial small subunit ribosomal RNA", at positions 338 to 795 of the family's 1533-position model. The record is from RNAcentral.
CCUACGGGAGGCAGCAGUGGGGAAUAUUGCACAAUGGGGGAAACCCUGAUGCAGCGACGCCGCGUGAGUGAAGAAGUAAUUCUUUAUUUAAAGCUCUAUCAGCAGGGAAGAAAAUGUCUGUACCUGAGUAAGAAUCCCCGGCUAACUACGUGCCAGCAGCCGCGGUAAUACGUAGGGGGCAAGCGUUAUCCGGAUUUACUGGGUGUAAAGGGAGCGUAGACGGCAGUGCAAGUCUGGAGUGAAAGGCGGGGGCUCAACCCCCGGACUGCUCUGGAAACUGUACGGCUGGAGUGCAGGAGAGGUAAGUGGAAUUCCUAGUGUAGCGGUGAAAUGCGUAGAGAUUAGGAGGAACACCAGUGGCGAAGGCGGCUUACUAGACUGUAACUGACGUUGAGGCUCGAAAGCGUGGGGAGCAAACAGGAUUAGAUACCCUAGUAGUC